This 347-nucleotide ribosomal RNA is filed under the name uncultured Paraglomus. RNAcentral's name for it is "eukaryotic LSU rRNA". The record is from RNAcentral. Lineage: Eukaryota; Fungi; Glomeromycota; Glomeromycetes; Paraglomerales; Paraglomeraceae.
GUGAAAUUGUUGAAAGGGAAACGCUUGAAGUCAGUCGUGCCGGUGGAAACUCAGCGAGCUUUUUCGCGAAAGCUUGUGAAAUUUUUCGCAUGGCAGGUCAGCGUCAGUUUCGCGAGUGGUAAAAGGGUUCUGGUAAGGUAGCUCUCCUCGGAGAGUGUUAUAGACCGGAGCAGAUGCGACUUGCGAGACUGAGGAUUGCAGCAGACACCCUUCGUGGAGCGGCGCGCGAUCUCUGUCCGGCUCCCCGUGCUCAACAGCAUGCUGAGUGGGCGUGGGGACGCUUUGAACACCAGGUUGCGAAUAGCCAGCGGUUUGCUAAGGACGUUGACGUAAUGGCUUUAAACGAC